AGUGAACGCUGGCGGUAGGCCUAACACAUGCAAGUCGAACGGCAGCACAGUAAGAGCUUGCUCUUACGGGUGGCGAGUGGCGGACGGGUGAGGAAUACAUCGGAAUCUACUUUUUCGUGGGGGAUAACGUAGGGAAACUUACGCUAAUACCGCAUACGACCUACGGGUGAAAGCAGGGGAUCUUCGGACCUUGCGCGAUUGAAUGAGCCGAUGUCGGAUUAGCUAGUUGGCGGGGUAAAGGCCCACCAAGGCGACGAUCCGUAGCUGGUCUGAGAGGAUGAGCAGCCACACUGGAACUGAGACACGGUCCAGACUCCUACGGGAGGCAGCAGUGGGGAAUAUUGGACAAGGGGCGCAAGCCUGAUCCAGCCAUGCCGCGUGGGGGAAGAAGGCCUUCGGGUUGUAAAGCCCUUUUGUUGGGAAAGAAAAGCAGCAGGUUAAUACCCCGCUGUUCUGACGGUACCCAAAGAAUGAGCACCGGCUAACUUCGUG
RNAcentral lists this ribosomal RNA (492 nucleotides) under uncultured bacterium. Its description in RNAcentral is "partial 16S ribosomal RNA". It matches the Rfam family "Bacterial small subunit ribosomal RNA", at positions 29 to 507 of the family's 1533-position model. The record is from RNAcentral.